Molecule: ribosomal RNA, 255 nt
Filed under: uncultured bacterium
Lineage: Bacteria
Description: partial 16S ribosomal RNA
Rfam family: Bacterial small subunit ribosomal RNA
Source: RNAcentral
UACGGGGGGAGCAAGCGUUGUUCGGAUUUACUGGGCGUAAAGGGCGCGUAGGCGGUCGUGACAAGUCACUUGUGAAAUCUCCGGGCUUAACUCGGAACGGUCAAGUGAUACUGUCGGACUAGAGUACAGAAGGGGCAACUGGAAUUCUCGGUGUAGCGGUGAAAUGCGUAGAUAUCGAGAGGAACACCUGCGGCGAAGGCGGGUUGCUGGGCUGACACUGACGCUGAUGCGCGAAAGCUAGGGGAGCGAAGCGGG